This is a long non-coding RNA of Megalobrama amblycephala (Wuchang bream), 1228 nucleotides long. RefSeq lists it as uncharacterized. The record is from RefSeq and is a predicted model, not a curated record. Lineage: Eukaryota; Metazoa; Chordata; Actinopteri; Cypriniformes; Xenocyprididae. The transcript is spliced from 3 exons.
CAAGCACUUUAUCUAUUAUUAGUAUCAGCAACAUCUUGCCAAUCUUCACCUCUUCCAUUCUGCAAAUAUCACAUUGCUGAUGUAUUAGGUAUUACAUGACAGUAUUUAAAGUGUGUGGAGUGAGGAGACCAGUGUGUUAUCAACCACCAUAAUGUGAAAGAUUAGCACAAGCCUCUUCCCACCUGUUUUCACUUUUCUUUUCAUAAAGUCCGCAGCUGCUGCACCAAACAAGCUCUUAUUUUCCUUGACCGAGUUCACAAGGAUGCAUUGGGAGAUUCUGUCAUGUCCUUAUGGUCAUCAUGCAAACACACAUAGCUGAUGGCUUUAGAGUCAGAGCAGAACUGCAGAGCUGAAUGUCAUGUACUGAGCGGUUCAUCAGAAGAGCUGCUUUUCUACUUCUCUUUGUUCCCUCUCAAUCAAGCCUGAUUUAAGAGUCAGUUAAAUGUACGAAAUUGGUAGCAGGCUUUUAUUUCUCCCUCCCUCACUUCUUUCAUUCAAUAAGGUUCAAUUUGAAAAUGGUCUGGUUUGUAUCCUUAAUAUAUGAACGUGCAGGUGCUUCUAAUCACAGAGGCAGUGCACACACUCUUUGACAAUGUGAAAUAUCGCGAUUUAUCGCUUGCAUUUGCGUGAUGUUUUCCAGCGUUGAUUGCCUGGACGUGUGAUUUCACAGGGCCACGUCUCCAUCUGUACCAUUUUCUCUAAGUAUCGAACAUUUUCAUCUUUCUUCAAUACAAGCUAAUUGGAUUAAGUUUGAGCAAUUUUCAUAUUGCCGCGCAUUGUGCCUCUGCGUGUACGGCUGCCAGGCAGCUCUGUUUUAUAGCUCCGGCGCGCGCUGUCAGCCCCGUGUUCCUGCCGUCAUCAAGGCGCUAAGGACCACAUCAACCAUCUUCGCUCAUUCUCAGCAAGCCUGCUGGGUUUUCCCCCGCAAGAAAACCAACCAAUUCUCUGUGGAAUCGUGCUAAAUUAACCAAAUUUACAGCUUAGCACUUAAGGAUCUCCUUAGUUGGCUGUGUGACCACCGCUGCUGUGACAUAUGUACAAAACACCUGUCGCAUGUUUCUGGGCCCCAUUGUUCGUGGUGAGCUGCUGCUGGGUCUCACACAACCUGUUCCUGGAACAUCAACCCUCAGUACGAGUCAGAUCCAGCCCUGAUUAUAUGCAGGAUGCCAGCUGGCAGACAGAUGGUGGUGGCUUUACACGAUUUUAUUUAAAGACACAUCAGAAGGAA